RNAcentral lists this ribosomal RNA (490 nucleotides) under uncultured bacterium. RNAcentral's name for it is "partial 16S ribosomal RNA". It matches the Rfam family "Bacterial small subunit ribosomal RNA", at positions 30 to 507 of the family's 1533-position model. The record is from RNAcentral.
AUUGAACGCUGGCGGCAGGCCUAACACAUGCAAGUCGAACGGUAACAGGAAGCAGCUUGCUGCUUUGCUGACGAGUGGCGGACGGGUGAGUAAUGUCUGGGAAACUGCCUGAUGGAGGGGGAUAACUACUGGAAACGGUAGCUAAUACCGCAUAACGUCGCAAGACCAAAGAGGGGGACCUUAUGGCCUCUUGCCAUCGGAUGUGCCCAGAUGGGAUUAGCUAGUAGGUGGGGUAACGGCUCACCUAGGCGACGAUCCCUAGCUGGUCUGAGAGGAUGACCAGCCACACUGGAACUGAGACACGGUCCAGACUCCUACGGGAGGCAGCAGUGGGGAAUAUUGCACAAUGGGCGCAAGCCUGAUGCAGCCAUGCCGCGUGUGUGAAGAAGGCCUUCGGGUUGUAAAGUACUUUCAGCGGGGAGGAAGGGAGUAAAGUUAAUACCUUUGCUCAUUGACGUUACCCGCAGAAGAAGCACCGGCUAACUCCGUG